Molecule: ribosomal RNA, 467 nt
Filed under: uncultured bacterium
Lineage: Bacteria
Description: partial 16S ribosomal RNA
Rfam family: Bacterial small subunit ribosomal RNA
Source: RNAcentral
ACGAACGCUGGCGGCGUGCUUAACACAUGCAAGUCGAACGGAAAGGCCCUGCUUUUGUGGGGUGCUCGCGUGGCGAACGGGUGAGUAACACGUGAGUAACCUGCCCUUGACUUUGGGAUAACUUCAGGAAACUGGGGCUAAUACCGGAUAGGAGCUCCUGCUGCAUGGUGGGGGUUGGAAAGUUUCGGCGGUUGGGGAUGGACUCGCGGCUUAUCAGCUUGUUGGUGGGGUAGUGGCUUACCAAGGCUUUGACGGGUAGCCGGCCUGAGAGGGUGACCGGCAACAUUGGGACUGAGAUACGGCCCAGACUCCUACGGGAGGCAGCAGUGGGGAAUAUUGCACAAUGGGCGGAAGCCUGAUGCAGCAACGCCGCGUGCGGGAUGACGGCCUUCGGGUUGUAAACCGCUUUCGCCUGUGACGAAGCGUGAGUGACGGUAAUGGGUAAAGAAGCACCGGCUAACUACGUG